Molecule: small RNA, 413 nt
Filed under: Bhargavaea cecembensis DSE10
Lineage: Bacteria; Bacillati; Bacillota; Bacilli; Caryophanales; Caryophanaceae
Description: cspA thermoregulator
Rfam family: cspA thermoregulator
Source: Rfam by way of RNAcentral
GCAUUUCACUUGCAAUGAUUUGGAAGUGCUGUUAUGAUGUAAGAGAAUUAUUUUUGUUCGGCAAUGACGUUCGGGUGGAAUUCUCUUCAUCCUGACACAUCAAGACUUGAGCAAGGAUAGUAACACAUGUGUGUCGAACGGCACCAAGGAGGAAACAAACAUGGAACAAGGUAAAGUAAAAUGGUUUAACGCAGAAAAAGGAUUCGGUUUCAUCGAGCGCGAAGAUGGCGACGAUGUAUUCGUACACUUCUCCGCUAUCCAGCAAGACGGGUUCAAGUCCCUUGAUGAAGGUCAAGAAGUAGAAUUCGAAAUCGAAGAAGGCCCACGCGGUCUUCAAGCUGCGAACGUCGUAAAAAUGUAAUUUCAUUUAACGACUUCUAAAAACGCCGUCUCCUCCGGGAGACGGCGUUUUU